UACGGGGGGGGCAAGCGUUGUUCGGAAUUACUGGGCGUAAAGGGCUCGUAGGUGGCCAACUAAGUCAUGCGUGAAAUCCCUCGGCUUAACCGGGGAACUGCGUCUGAUACUGGAUGGCUUGAGUUUGGGAGAGGGAUGCGGAAUUCCAGGUGUAGCGGUGAAAUGCGUAGAUAUCUGGAGGAGCACCGGUGGCGAAGGCGGCAUCCUGGACCAAUACUGACACUGAGGAGCGAAAGCCAGGGGAGCAAACGGG
Molecule: ribosomal RNA, 253 nt
Filed under: uncultured bacterium
Lineage: Bacteria
Description: partial 16S ribosomal RNA
Rfam family: Bacterial small subunit ribosomal RNA
Source: RNAcentral